RNAcentral lists this long non-coding RNA (1135 nucleotides) under Homo sapiens (human). RNAcentral's name for it is "HSALNT0147255". Lineage: Eukaryota; Metazoa; Chordata; Mammalia; Primates; Hominidae. The record is from RNAcentral.
GUUUAGAAUGUUUUUCCCUAUAAUCUUUGAAGAGCUGCCUCUUUCUCAUAGUUCACAUUCUACUAAACAACCUGCUUUCUCAGUUACCUUCCCUGACCAUCCCAUGUAAAGUAGUGUCUGUCCCCUGCUCUCAUCCCAAGGCAGUUCCUAUCACAUCCUAUUUUGUUAUUUUUCUAUAAUAUUUAUCACUACACAAAAUUACUUUAUUUCAGUGUUUUGUGUCUGUUUUAUCCCUCUCUCCCACCAGAAAAUGAGCUUCUAGAGUUUGGUUCUUUGUCUCUCUUGUUCUUCACAAUAUUCUUAGUGCCUAGAGCAAAGCCUGAUGCCUCACAAGUGCUCUAUAAAUGUUUGCUGACUGCCUGCCUGAUUCAACCAACAAAUGUAAUUGAAUAUCCACUGUCCACACAUCCUCAAAACAGACCCUUAACUUUUACUGUUAAGAGUGACCUAAGGACUAGAGAAAUCCACCUAAGUGAUUACCAAGGGGCUAAUGUCCAGUUCGUUUCUAAUGUUCAUUAUUAUCCACUUAAUUCACUGGAUCAACUGUUGUUUUUUUUUUCAUGCCUAGAAAAAUUUUUGGUUUGUUUUUGUAUUUACGCAUGGAGGAACUGAAGCUUGGCGAGAACAAGAGUGAAUUUUGGCCCAAGGUCACACAGAUGGAUGGGAGAAGAGAGAAAACAGAAAAGACAAUAGAAAAAGAAAAAAUGGGACAAGCAACCCUUGGAGGAAAGUACAACUGGUAUCAUCACCAUCUAACAGAUAACAAAAAUGGAGCAUUGGAGCAGUUAGAGCUCACAUUCAUGGACCUACACUGAUAGAACUUGGAGGAGUCCACAUCAAGCCUUCUUCAUAGUAAUUGAUGAAGAAAUUGGGGUCCAAAGAGUCCAGUCGUCAUUGGGACUAUAGACUGGGAAACUGGGCCUUGGUAGAACUCUUCAAAGUUGCUGAUGUGCCUUUCCGUGUGAGUACAAUGAACUCUUAUCUACCUUUUUGCUUUCAUUUUCUUGCUGGAAUGUGUCCUUUGUAAACAGUGACCCCAUAUUGUUAUCAGUCAAGUACAUGUUAGUUCAACAUGUUGUUUUUCAUAUUUAUAAAUGUGAAAAAUAAAAUUUUUAUCUUCCCAAAACUUAAAAAU